GGCCACGUCUACGCGCCUGCGCCUGGCCGCCCGUCGCCCUAUGCCCCCGCCUCCGCACAUGCCGGUCGCCGUCCGCCGACUGCGCCUGCGCCCGGCCCGGUCGUCACCCCGCCCAGGCCCGAAGCUUGCUCGCUGCUCGCCCAGCGAUGGUGAGUGUUGUCUCACUCUCUUUGACUCUCUCUCUCUGUAAUCUGAUACUAGUACUCUGUACUCACUACUCUAGUUUGCUCAUGUGCAAAUAUAAAUUAUUUGCUAAGUUACCACAUCUGAAAAUUUACUUGUUAUUACAGAAUUUGUAAUGGGCUAUUUAGCCUUUUUUAUUUGGAUAAAACAUGCAUAGGAAAGAAGAUAUUUUUAUGGAUGUUGUAAGAUGUUAAUUUUAUAUUUUUAACUAGUGUAAAAUUUACAAAACGUGUUAGUUAUUGAUAUUAUACUUUUUUUAUGUAUAAUCGAUUAAUCUGUCAUUAGUAGUGAGAAUUGUGGUGAGUUUUUGCAAUCAUGCAGUGCAAGAGGGAGAAGAACUAGACCACCAGCUAACUGAACUAGGAGUUACUGAUACUGAUAUAGAUAGGUUGUCUGCUUUCUUAAGCAAACAAAAUCAUAUACUGUAAAAAUAUGUAAAUAUAAUCUAUACAGGACAUAUUCAUACCAGUCACUUUACAUGUAUCGAACUAUACUUCGUGUGAAUCUAUUACAUUUAGCAAAACAACAUUAUUCUUCUCACGUUGCAGUUGCAGGAUGCUUGUCUAUGAGUCUAGCAUGGUGCAAUGAGUCCGCAUGGUGUUCUUACAUUUUCGGGUUGCUACUCUUGGAAGCAAUCACCAGAAGAGAUGAACUAUUGUUUGAAUUCUGUUAUAUUUUGAUUGUAUCUGUUAUUAAUUGAAUCCGGAAUAGUAUAUGUUAUUAGGUUUGAAUCUGAGAAGUAUGAGAAAUUGGAUUGUGUUUGGUGGGCUCAAAUUUAAUGGGCGAUAAAAUAGGGCAAUUCUGAAAUAGGCCUAUUUUAAAAUGGGCUAGUUCUAAAAAGAUAUU
Molecule: long non-coding RNA, 1029 nt
Filed under: Oryza brachyantha (malo sina)
Lineage: Eukaryota; Viridiplantae; Streptophyta; Magnoliopsida; Poales; Poaceae
Description: long non-coding RNA (OBRA_LNC001738)
Source: RNAcentral